This 468-nucleotide ribosomal RNA is filed under the name uncultured bacterium. RNAcentral's name for it is "partial 16S ribosomal RNA". It matches the Rfam family "Bacterial small subunit ribosomal RNA", at positions 28 to 507 of the family's 1533-position model. The record is from RNAcentral.
GACGAACGCUGGCGGCGUGCUUAACACAUGCAAGUCGAACGGUAAGGCCCUGCUUUUGUGGGUUGCUCGAGUGGCGAACGGGUGAGUAAUACGUGAGUAACCUGCCCUUGACUUUUGGAUUACUUCCUGAAACUGGGGCCUAUUCCCGAUAGGAUCUCCUGCUGCCUGGUUGUGGUUGUUAAGUUUCGGCGGUUGUGGAUGGACUCGCGGCUUAUCAUCAUGUUGUUGGGGUAGUGGCUUACCAAGGCUUUGACGGGUAGCAGGCGUGAGAGGGUGACUGGCAAAAUGGGGAGAGAGAUACGGCAGGGACUAGUAGGGGAGGCAGGAGUAGGGAAGAAAGCACAAUGGGCGGAAGCCGGAUGAAGGAACGCGGCGUGCGGGAUGAAGGCCUUCGGGGUGUAAGAAGAACGGGAGAGUGACGAAACGUAAGUGACGGUAAUGUAUAAAGAAGCAACGGCUAACUACGUG